GGGCAGGGUAUCGACCCGUAACCCGGUUAGAUAGCCAUGGG
Molecule: ribosomal RNA, 41 nt
Filed under: Escherichia coli
Lineage: Bacteria; Pseudomonadati; Pseudomonadota; Gammaproteobacteria; Enterobacterales; Enterobacteriaceae
Description: partial 23S ribosomal RNA
Source: RNAcentral